This is a small nuclear RNA of Suncus etruscus (white-toothed pygmy shrew), 144 nucleotides long. RefSeq annotates it as U4 spliceosomal RNA. Lineage: Eukaryota; Metazoa; Chordata; Mammalia; Eulipotyphla; Soricidae. The transcript has a single exon. The record is from RefSeq and is a predicted model, not a curated record.
GGCUUUGCGCAGUGGCAGUAUCGUAGCCAAUGAGGUUUAUCCGAGGCGCGAUUAUUGCUAUUUGAAAACUUUUCUCAAUACCCCACCUGUGGAUGACUUGAAAUAUAGUCGGCAUUGGCAAUUUUUUGACAGUCUCUACAGAGA